GACGAACGCUGGCGGCGUGCUUAACACAUGCAAGUCGAGCGAACCUUCGGGUUAGCGGCGAACGGGUGAGUAACACGUGGGCAACCUGCCCCGAGCUCUGGGAUAACCCCCGGGAACCGGGACUAAUACCGGACUACGAGGCCGACAGACAUCUGUUGGUCUGGUAAAGUUUUUCGGUCGUCGGGAGUGGGCCCCGCGGCCUAUCAG
Molecule: ribosomal RNA, 207 nt
Filed under: uncultured bacterium
Lineage: Bacteria
Description: partial 16S ribosomal RNA
Rfam family: Bacterial small subunit ribosomal RNA
Source: RNAcentral